UGAUUACCUUUAUUAGUCUGCUAAUAAGAAAAGGAGAAUGUAUUUAAUGAUCUGCAACUUGAUCUAACCCAAGGAGAGUGGAGGUGAGGCGCUGCCUUCUACGUUUAGAACUUGUGAAGUUUCCCCUCUAAGACUCUGUUCUGUUUUUUUCAAAAGUGUUCCUGUUUUCUGGGUACCGAUGGAUGAAUCCCUAAAGGAUACAUUUACAGCCUGAUGAACAACAGGUUGAUCGGACCUCACGGGAAGAUACAUUUGAUCUCCAAAUAUGUCUCUCAUAGCAUCAGUGUCCCGAUGAGUGUCUUUUUGAGGAACGCUGAUGGGUUGUAGCAUGAAACUAUGCCGGGACUCCAACUCUAUCAAACCAUUUCCACUGAAAUCCAUAUCAAAACGGUCUGAUUCUUUAUCCUCUAUCCAUUUUUCAGCUUGAUUAUUUCUCCAGUGUGCAUCAUUCAAACUACUUUUUUCAGGAAUAUCGUUGUUUAAUUCAAGUUUUCUCUCCUGACUUAAAUUCAUGGUACUCAAAGCUAGGGCUGCAAAGUCUGUUGGCACAAUAAGCUGCAAUUCUUCUCCAGUCAGGCCGCUCGCCUCUUCUGCAGAAGACAUUUCCGCUGAGGUUGAUGUAGAUGAUUCGUCUCCGUCCCUGUUGCUUUGAGCAAUGUUAGCCUUGUCUGUUUUAUUUUGCUUGUAGUAACUGUUCAGCAGUGCAAACAUUCUAUCUACAUCCUUCAAGUAAUUAGUCCAGUCAGCCAGACUAAGUCUAUAGUUGUAUCUGUGUUCAUAUACACUUUCAUUCACUCUGUACAAGUCUUCCAGUCCUUGCCAGUUGAUGUCACCAGUGAAACUGGGCAGGUUAGCCUUCCCAUCCAUCCCAUAAUUGUCCUCUGUGCGGAUCAUAGCUUCCUCCAUCUUUAUUUCCUGUUUCAAGUCCCUUAGGCCUUGGAUUGCACUGCUUAUAACCUUGACAACUUCUCAGUUCCAUCAACUGUACAUGUAAUUGAUUUAAAAUGCCUCUUUCCACUGUAUGUACGGUAUUCGUCAGCUGAUAGGGAUCAGUGUUCAUAUCAAAAUAUUCCAAGAAGCCAGUUGCAAACUCACAGAAGAGAAAAUUGUGGGUGUCAUUCACUGUUCUCAAACACCAGUAGGUGUUGUUAUUUGAGCUUGUGCAAGCACAGAAAGAUCCCAAGCUCCAGAAGGGUGCAGUUUGCCAGUGGUUGUUGUCAUGGGUAAAACAUGUCAGUCCAGGAAGGCUACACUCAUCCCCUUUCUUCUGGCGCUUUUUCCCCUUCCUUUCCUUCUUCCGUCUGCGAUUCUCUUUGAACAACUGCAGUUUGCUGUCUACCUCCUGUGCAGCUUCUUUGAAGGGAUGAAGAUGGCUCUUGAUUUUCUCUUGGGCCUUUGCGCCUUUCUCUUUGUUGUAGUAGCUCUGUUUAGUACAGUCACAUUCAUCUGGUUUUCUUCUUUUUAGGUGUCCUCUAACUUCCCUCAAAUUCUUGAUUUUGUCCUGGAGAGCUUCAAUCUCCUUAUCAAUGUAAGCCUUGUGGUCCUUCCAGGCUCUGGCAGAUUGGUACAGCUCCCUCUCACAGUGAAUAGUGUCAUUUGGAAGAAUAAAACACUUGUGCGUCACUCUGACAGAACUGGGUUGACCUAUAGCAUCAGUGCCAUCAGCAACCAUCGUGUCACCGGGAGCACCAUCAGUUUCCUCUGCUUUUUUGUCAUUUUCAGCAUUGUGACGUUUGGUGAUACUUCUGGUCUUUAACACCUGCAGUUCUUCCUCUUCCAGGUUUAUGUCAUAUAUUUCACCUUCAAAUUCCACAGACAAGGAUCGGGUUUGGCGAGUGUGAACAAAACGUGGUUUGUAUUUUUGCGCACUGGGGUUUCUCAGAAACUGUCUUUGACUUUUUCUUUGGGUCCUGCUGUUUCGGAAAUCGGUGUCUCCACAGUUGCAGUCCUUAUCUUUACCACUGUAUCCCCGGGAGUGGAUGCUGCGGGCCCUCUUCCUGAUGGCCAGGAUGUCACUAGAUACCUUGCACUUGUGAAUUCGGAGCUUGCCAGAAGCAUCUUCUGUGCACUGCCACUUCUGUCCUGGUUGUUCACAGGCUGUCUGGUAUCUUGCUUGUUGGCAUAAUUCUUUUACCCUCUCAUAUUUUGGCAGUUGAUUAGAUUGCUGAGUGUUUUUAUUAGCUUCCUCUUUCUUGCGUAGAAAUUUGCCUCUUUCCACCAGGAAUGUGUCACGCCAGAUUUUGGUCUUCUUGUUUGUUCGAAACCUAUUUCCUGGUCUUUCCAAGUCUAGAAGCUUUAGGACAGAUUUGCCAUCCAUAUCUGGAGGUGUGUCAAGUCCUGCAAUAUCCAGAAUUGUUGGUGCAAGAUCAAUAUUCAGAACUAUCUGAGGCACUACUGAUCCUGGCUCUACACUUGGACCACGAAUAAAGAAAGGAACUCGAAUAUCAAAGUCAUAUGGCAUUGACUUCCCCUUGACCAGUCCAAACUGCCCGAUAUGGUAACCAUGGUCAGCAGUGUAAAUAAUGUAGGUAUUCUCCAGCUCUCCCAUUUCUGCAAGCAUUUGGUAUAAUCUUUCCAUAGAGUCAUCAACUGACAUCAGGGUCUGAAGUCUCUUCCGUUGCAAGACGUUUGUAAACUCCAUGUGGAUAGGCAGCAUGGGCCCCGUGUACUGCAUGAUCCAGUGCUUAUCCAUGUUUGGUGCGUAAUUAUAGCUGGGAGUGAUAUGCUGCGAAGCGUUGGGGUAGAGCUCUGAGAACUGUGGGGCCGAAUCCUCGGGGCCAUGAGGCGCAGCGUGGCUGAUGACCAUCAUUAUGGGCCUAUGCGGAUAUAUCCUCUUGGACAUUCUGAAGUAAUUAAUGCUCUCAUUAGUGAUUAGGUCUGUGAAGUAGUCCUUUGCAUAAUCAAAUCCAUGCUUCUCUUUGUUACCAUUGCGAGAAAUGGUGUAAUUAUAGAAGCGAGAGUUCUUCACUAAUCCAACCCACUCUCUCC
Molecule: long non-coding RNA, 2988 nt
Filed under: Gallus gallus (chicken)
Lineage: Eukaryota; Metazoa; Chordata; Aves; Galliformes; Phasianidae
Source: RNAcentral